UCCUCUCGUAACUUUGAAUUU
Molecule: non-coding RNA, 21 nt
Filed under: Caenorhabditis elegans
Lineage: Eukaryota; Metazoa; Nematoda; Chromadorea; Rhabditida; Rhabditidae
Source: RNAcentral